UGAACUGUAUUGACAGGAAAUAGUAAUAGUAUGGCCUUACUUUAGAGAGUCGAUGGUUGGUGCAAAUCGAUGUAAGCUUGCUAUGAAUCCAUCCUUGAACAGGUUUAUCGAAUUCCUCGGAUAGUAAAUAAACCCGGUUACGUACCGUUAUCGCGAUAAGCCGGAAGAGGUUUCUCUUCAACAAGGGUGGCAACGCGGGAAAUAUAUACUCUCGUCCCUAUU
Molecule: non-coding RNA, 222 nt
Filed under: Virgibacillus salexigens
Lineage: Bacteria; Bacillati; Bacillota; Bacilli; Caryophanales; Bacillaceae
Description: T-box
Rfam family: T-box leader
About the family: Uncharged tRNA acts as the effector for transcription antitermination of genes in the T-box leader family. T-boxes are found upstream of many aminoacyl-tRNA synthetase genes and some amino acid biosynthetic genes usually in Gram-positive bacteria.
Source: RNAcentral